GAUGAAGAACGUAGCGAAAUGCGAUAAGUAAUGUGAAUUGCAGAAUUUAGUGAAUCAUCGAAUCUUUGAACGCACAUUGCACCCCUUGGUAAUCCUUGGGGUAUACCUGUUCGAGCGCCGUUUGUGUCUAAGGCUCUGCCUUGCGUUGAUGCUGCCCUGUCAAGGGCUCGUCUAAACACAUCGGCGCCUGCCUUGGCCCCGAACGCAAUGAAAUGUGCGAAUGGUCCUGGUGGGCGGCCAGUCUCCGAAAGCAUGGCCUCGGAUCAGGUAGGGAUACCCGCUGAACUUAAGCAUAUCAAUAAGCGGAGGA
Molecule: unclassified non-coding RNA, 310 nt
Filed under: soil metagenome
Description: partial contains 5.8S ribosomal RNA, internal transcribed spacer 2, and large subunit ribosomal RNA
Rfam family: 5.8S ribosomal RNA (bases 1-120)
Source: RNAcentral